GGGGACCCGCAAGCGGUGGAGCAUGUGGUUUAAUUCGAAGCAACGCGAAGAACCUUACCAAAUCUUGACAUCCUCUGACAACUCUGGAGACAGAGCGUUCCCCUUCGGGGGACAGAGUGACAGGUGGUGCAUGGUUGUCGUCAGCUCGUGUCGUGAGAUGUUGGGUUAAGUCCCGCAACGAGCGCAACCCUUAUCUUUAGUUGCCAUCAUUCAGUUGGGCACUCUAGAGAGACUGCCGGUGACAAACCGGAGGAAGGUGGGGAUGACGUCAAAUCAUCAUGCCCCUUAUGAUUUGGGCUACACACGUGCUACAAUGGAUGGUACAAAGGGCAGCAAAACCGCGAGGUCAAGCCAAUCCCAUAAAACCAUUCUCAGUUCGGAUUGUAGUCUGCAACUCGACUACAUGAAGCUGGAAUCGCUAGUAAUCGUAGAUCAGCAUGCUACGGUGAAUACGUUCCCGGGUCUUGUACACACC
Molecule: ribosomal RNA, 475 nt
Filed under: uncultured bacterium
Lineage: Bacteria
Description: bacterial SSU rRNA
Rfam family: Bacterial small subunit ribosomal RNA
Source: RNAcentral